GUUUAUAGUGCUGUGAGUUUAACACUUCAUGACUGACAGCAGAACAGAACACAAUCUUCAUCAUCACACAACACAAACAACAACAAUGACCUUCAGCAUCAUCUUCAUCUGGACUUUGUUUAUGUGUCUUCAAGGUUUUAGUGGACAGGUGACUGUGACUCAGACUCCCUCUGUAAAGAUGGUUCAGAUUGGUGAAUCGGUCACUAUAAGUUGCAAAACUAACACAGAAGUGAGCAAUGACUGUCCUGGUUCAUAUACUUGUAUGGCCUGGUACCAGCAGAAAUCUGGAGAAGCUCCUAAACUACUUAUUGAAUCCGCAAGCCGAAGACAGCCAAAUAUCCCAUCUAGAUUCAGUGGCAGCGGAUCAAGAACUGAUUUCACUCUGAGCAUCAGUGGAGUCCAGACUGAAGAUUCAGGAGAUUAUUACUGUCAGAGUGAACACUACAUCAACAGUAAAUAUGUGUUCACACAGUGAUAAAGAGUCGUACAAAAACCUCCGUCAGUCAGACUGCACAGUGACUGCACUGAUACAACUGACAGAUUCUGCAGCUGCUCGUAAAACUCAGUAUAGCAAUGAAUCCAGACACUUAAAAUAUUUUUUUUGUUUUUCAUUAAUUAAUUAAUUCAUUCAUUCAUUCUUACACUUAUUCAUUAAUUAAUUCACUUAAAAUAAUAAUUGUAAAUUAAAAAAUGUAAUUAUACAGAUACUAAUUAUAGAAUGUGAAGGAGUGUGCAGAAACUAACAAAACAUCUUUACUCUUGAGUUUUCACAGACAGCUUUAGACAGCGAGUUUAUCAUUUAGAGACUUUUGCACUCAUAAAAACAUCUGAUGAAAGUUGUUGAUUAUGCUGAGAAACAUCAGUCAGUGUUCAUCAGUGAAGAGCUGUGAUUAACAGAUACUGAAGAACACACAUCAGAAUGAAUCAUUCACUGUGUCUUAUCACAGACUGAACAGUUCAUUCAAUCAUUCAUAAUGUCAGUAUGACUGCUGAAAACUGAUGAAUAUGAACAAACCUCAUCUCUCCAUUAGUCAAACUGAACUGUCUCAUUUCACAGAAUAAAGUGUCAAACAGUUCAACUCAUAUUUGCAUCAUCAGGAUGAGUGAUUCUUUCCUCUCAGAAUAGAGCAGCUCCAUCAGCAGAUGUUCACCGUCCUCAGAAGAGUUUCAUGUAAUUACUGUCAACACAUACGUUGCUGUGAAAAACUAUUUGCCCCCAUCCGCAUUUCUUCUAUUUUUCUGUAUAUCUCUUUCUAAAUUAUUUCAGAUACUCAAAAACCAAAAUUGACAUAAAACAAAGGCAAUCUGAGUAUUGAGUAAACACAAAAUACAGUUUUUAAAUUAGAUUGUUUUGUAUUGAAGCAAAACAAAGAAACAAACAAAAAACAAUACUAAUUGGGCAUAUGUGAAAAUGUUUUUGCCCCACUUACUUACAAAAUCCCCAAAUCUCUAAAACUGCAAUGAUACAUAGAAGAACUGUCAAACAAAACACACUGAGAGAUGAA
Molecule: non-coding RNA, 1505 nt
Organism: Xyrauchen texanus (razorback sucker)
Lineage: Eukaryota; Metazoa; Chordata; Actinopteri; Cypriniformes; Catostomidae
Source: the annotation of a RefSeq genome assembly